RNAcentral lists this ribosomal RNA (472 nucleotides) under uncultured bacterium. RNAcentral's name for it is "bacterial SSU rRNA". It matches the Rfam family "Bacterial small subunit ribosomal RNA", at positions 29 to 507 of the family's 1533-position model. The record is from RNAcentral.
ACGAACGUUGGCGGCGUGGAUUAGGCAUGCAAGUCGAACGAAUCUCACUUGGGUAACUGAGUGGGGAAAGUGGCGAAAGGGGCAGUAAGGCAUGGAUAACUUGCCCCGGAGUCUGGAAUAGCCAUCCUAACGGAUGGGUAAUACUGGAUGUCGUGUCGAGGGGGCAUCUUCUUGACAGGAAAGUUUCGACGCUCCGGGAGAGGUUCAUGUGGUAUUAGCUAGUUGGUGAGGUAACGGCUCACCAAGGCCAAGAUGCCUAGCAGGUGUGAGAGCACGACCUGCGUCACUGGCACUGGGACACUGGCCAGACUCCUACGGGAGGCUGCAGUCGAGGAUCUUCGGCAAUGGGCGAAAGCCUGACCGAGCGACGCCGCGUGUGCGAUGAAGGCCUUCGGGUUGUAAAGCACUGUCGAGGGAGAGAAAAGCCGCAAGGUUUGAUCGAUCUCUGGAGGAAGCACGGGCUAAGUUCGUG